AGUGUAGGUGCAGGAGGGCCUGUGUGUCCUGAUGCCCUGUGCCUCUAACCUCCCCCAGAAUGUCCUGUCUGACGUUUUUCCAGCUCAGGGGUGCCGAGUCCACGUUUUUAAUUUGAAUGAUCCAGUGGCCACAAUGACCCUCCCCACAAAAUGUAGGAGGAGACCCAGAGCCCAUUUGCCUUCCUGGGGCACCCCCAAACCUAUAACUGCUCCCUGAGCAUCAGAGAUGCCUAGAUGGGGGAUACAGGGAGGUGCUACGUUCAGGUAAAGAGAGGACCUACUGUCAGAUGAUGUGACUGAAUUAACGGGCUGUCAGUGCAUGUCCCGGAACUUGGACACCCAAGGAUGGUGGUCUUUGUUUCCUGGGUCUGUGAGGGGGGUUCAGUCUCUACCUCCUCCUGAAUGGGGGCUUGCCUGGCCUCCCUGGGCCCCACAACUCCAAUGCUCAUCCUCAACCCAGAGCCUCCAGACCAUGGCACCAACCUCCCCUGACAGGUGAGCCUCCUCUGGGACUAGUGUGACCUCAGAGAGCCUUUAACUCAGCAUUUCCC
Molecule: long non-coding RNA, 551 nt
Filed under: Homo sapiens (human)
Lineage: Eukaryota; Metazoa; Chordata; Mammalia; Primates; Hominidae
Description: non-protein coding lnc-ZNF835-3:1
Source: RNAcentral